This 72-nucleotide transfer RNA is filed under the name Calumma hilleniusi. RNAcentral's name for it is "tRNA-His". Lineage: Eukaryota; Metazoa; Chordata; Lepidosauria; Squamata; Chamaeleonidae. The record is from RNAcentral.
GCUGCGAUAGUUUAUAAUAAAACAUUAGCCUGUGAAGCUAAAAAUGGAAUCAUCACCCACAUCCCCACAGCC